GGCUCUGUGCGGCUCUCUGGCUUCUACGAUGGGAGAAAACUCAAGUUCAAGUGCGGACGUGACGUUCAGUCUGCGGUGAGAAGGGAGAGUGGAGACUGAAGAGCACUGGGGGCGACUAGUGAUAUUUGGCCUGACAGUCAGGCUGUUGGGCAGAAGAGUCCACCGUGCCAGAAGUCAUCAUGUCACACAUGCUCUGUCCACCUGAGCAACCGGAGCCCCAGCCACAGCAAUCAGGGAUGUGGUCAGAGGAAGCACAGACACAGGGAGCCUGGAUGGCAGGUCUGGAGGAUUCUGGGUCAGGGACGGGAGGUCUGAUGAAGAUAAGGUGGGACAUCGACACUGGGCCUCUUCACCGCUCACUGGUCAGCACACCGCUGCGCCCGGACGAGUGCGUGUGAGGAGAUCAGGUCUGAUCUGAGCUGAUUUUGUCGACUCUCUGUCCUCUCAACAGCAUCUCCUGACAGGCCGUCACACCAGAACCAGGACAAAGACCAGGGGGGGGGUAGAGAGGAACGGGAUGAAGGAACCCCUGUGGCAUGCUAAUAAACGCUGAGCAGCAUUUAGCACGGACGCUAGCUUAGUUGGACAUGAGAAUUCAAACAAUUUGAAGUCAGUUGUAAUCAGUGUAAUAGCUCUACUUCCACCAACACCUCUGCUCCUCAUUUUAACGGUUUCUUCACAUCUGCAUUCAUGUGGCUGUCUGUGUAGAAGUGCAAAAGCAAACAAAAAGUGUAAAAAGAAGAAGCAAAAAUGAUGUAAAUUUAUUAAACUUUUAGGGUUGAAGUGCAACAUGCUUGUAAAUCAACAGGAGAGAAGCAGUUUUCUGGCUUUUAAAGGCAUUAUGGAGGAUGGUUUUUUUUUGUUGUUUAAUUUGUCUGAUUCACAUAAAAUGAAUAUACUGACCUUUA
This is a long non-coding RNA of Acanthochromis polyacanthus (spiny chromis), 908 nucleotides long. RefSeq lists it as uncharacterized. The record is from RefSeq and is a predicted model, not a curated record. The transcript has 2 exons. Lineage: Eukaryota; Metazoa; Chordata; Actinopteri; Pomacentridae.